UUGGAGGGCAAGUCUGGUGCCAGCAGCCGCGGUAAUUCCAGCUCCAAUAGCGUAUAUUAAAGUUGUUGCAGUUAAAAAGCUCGUAGUUGAAUUUCGGGGUUCUACCGUUGGUCGGGCUUUGUCUGUACUGGUGUGUAGAAUUUCUACCUUCUGGGGAACCAUCAUGCUAUUAAUUUAGCGUGGUGGGAAACCAAGACCUCUACCUUGAAAAAAUUAGUGUGUUCAAAGCAGGCUUAUGUCUGAAUACAUUAGCGUGGAAUAAUAGAAUAGGACGGUGGUCCUGUUUUGUUGGUUUCUGAAUCACCGUAAUGAUUAAUAGGGAUAGUUGGGGGCAUUAGUAUUCAAUUGUCAGAGGUGAAAUUCUUGGAUUUAUUGAAGACUAACUUCUGCGAAAGCAUUUGCCAAGGAUGUUUUCAUUAAUCAAGAACGAAAGUUAGGGGAUCGAAGACGAUCAGAUACCGUCGUAGUCUUAACCAUAAACUAUGCCGACUAGGGAUCGGACGAUGUUAAUUUUUCUUGACUCGUUCGGCGCCUUACGGGAAAC
Molecule: ribosomal RNA, 544 nt
Filed under: uncultured Glomeromycotina
Lineage: Eukaryota; Fungi; Glomeromycota
Description: SSU rRNA
Rfam family: Eukaryotic small subunit ribosomal RNA
Source: RNAcentral